AACAAUCAAACAGAGAAGCGGUUCUCACGAGCUCACCGCUACACUGUUGUCACUCUCUGUUCAGCUGCUCAACACCGCGCGCUCAGUGUUUGCCCUCCAGAAACAAAGACUUGCGGCGACCCUGAAAGACAGAGAACUGAUACUUUGUUUCCGGAAAUAGAAUUCACUUUCCCCUUUGUAACAGAACUGAACUCCAUUCUUCAUUAUGUCUGAAUAACGCUGAUGCACGUUUACCUCGAGGCUUAACAGAAAUUACCAUACAUGUUGCUUAAUAUCUAGAUUUAUUGUAG
Molecule: long non-coding RNA, 290 nt
Organism: Sinocyclocheilus grahami
Lineage: Eukaryota; Metazoa; Chordata; Actinopteri; Cypriniformes; Cyprinidae
Exons: 3
Source: RefSeq, a predicted model, not a curated record